GACGAACGCUGGCGGCGUGCUUAACACAUGCAAGUCGAACGGAAAGGCCCUGCUUUUGUGGGGUGCUCGAGUGGCGAACGGGUGAGUAACACGUGAGUAACCUGCCCUUGACUUUGGGAUAACUACAGGAAACUGGGGCUAAUACCGGAUAGGAGCUCCUGCUGCAUGGUGGGGGUUGGAAAGUUUCGGCGGUUGGGGAUGGACUCGCGGCUUAUCAGCUUGUUGGUGGGGUAGUGGCUUACCAAGGCUUUGACGGGUAGCCGGCCUGAGAGGGUGACCGGCCACAUUGGGACUGAGAUACGGCCCAGACUCCUACGGGAGGCAGCAGUGGGGAAUAUUGCACAAUGGGCGGAAGCCUGAUGCAGCAACGCCGCGUGCGGGAUGACGGCCUUCGGGUUGUAAACCGCUUUCGCCUGUGACGAAGCGUGAGUGACGGUAAUGGGUAAAGAAGCACCGGCUAACUACGUGCCAGCAGCCGCGGUGAUACGUAGGGUGCGAGCGUUGUCCGGAUUUAUUGGGCGUAAAGGGCUCGUAGGUGGUUGAUCGCGUCGGAAGUGUAAUCUUGGGGCUUAACCCUGAGCGUGCUUUCGAUACGGGUUGACUUGAGGAAGGUAGGGGAGAAUGGAAUUCCUGGUGGAGCGGUGGAAUGCGCAGAUAUCAGGAGGAACACCAGUGGCGAAGGCGGUUCUCUGGGCCUUUCCUGACGCUGAGGAGCGAAAGCGUGGGGAGCGAACAGGCUUAGAUACCCCGGUAGUCCACGCUGUAAACGGUGGGUACUAGGUGUGGGGUCCAUUCCACGGGUUCCGUGCCGUAGCUAACGCUUUAAGUACCCCGCCUGGGGAGUACGGCCGCAAGGCUAAAACUCAAAGGAAUUGACGGGGCCCCGCACAAGCGGCGGAGCAUGCGGAUUAAUUCGAGACAACGAGUAGAACCUUACCUGGGUUUGACAUGGAUCGGGAGUGCUCAGAGAUGGGUGUGCCUCUUUUGGGGUCGGUUCACAGGUGGUGCAUGGCUAUCGUCAGCUCAAUGUCGUGAGAUGUUGGGUUAAGUCCCGCAACGAGCGCAACCCUUGUUCACUGUUGCCAGCACGUUAUGGUGGGGACUCAGUGGAGACCGACCGGGGUCAACUCGGAGGAAGGUGGGGAUGACGUCAAGUCAUCAUGCCCCUUAUGUCCAGGGCUUCACGCAUGCUACAAUGGCUGGUACAGAGAGUGGCGAGCCUGUGAGGGUGAGCGAAUCUCGGAAAGCCGGUCUCAGUUCGGAUUGGGGUCUGCAACUCGACCUCAUGAAGUCGGAGUCGGUAGUAAUCGCAGAUCAGCAACGCUGCGGUGAAUACGUUCCCGGG
RNAcentral lists this ribosomal RNA (1345 nucleotides) under uncultured bacterium. RNAcentral's name for it is "16S ribosomal RNA". It matches the Rfam family "Bacterial small subunit ribosomal RNA", at positions 28 to 1378 of the family's 1533-position model. The record is from RNAcentral.